This 253-nucleotide ribosomal RNA is filed under the name uncultured bacterium. Its description in RNAcentral is "partial 16S ribosomal RNA". It matches the Rfam family "Bacterial small subunit ribosomal RNA", at positions 524 to 776 of the family's 1533-position model. The record is from RNAcentral.
UACGGGGGGGGCAAGCGUUGUUCGGAAUUACUGGGCGUAAAGGGCUUGUAGGUGGCCAACUAAGUCCGACGUGAAAUCCCUAGGCUUAACCUAGGAACUGCGUCGGAUACUGGAUGGCUUGAAUCCGGGAGAGGGAUGCGGAAUUCCAGGUGUAGCGGUGAAAUGCGUAGAUAUCAGGAGGAACACCGGUGGCGAAGGCGGCUACCUGGACAGAAACUGACGCUGAGGCGCGAAAGCUAGGGGAGCAAACAGG